AAUGAACGUUGGCGGCGUGGAUUAGGCAUGCAAGUCGAACGGGCCUGGCAACAGGUCAGUGGCGCAAGGGUGAGUAAGGCGACGGUAACCAACCCCAUGGUCGGGUAUAGCCGCGGGAAACUGCGGGUAAUCCCCAGCGAUGUACGAGGCCGGCAUCGGCCUGGUACCAAAGCUCCGGCGCCGUGGGACGGGCCGUUGUGGUAUUAGGUAGUUGGCGGGGUAACGGCCCACCAAGCCUCUGAUGCCUACCGGGCGUGCGAGCGUGGCCCGGCACACUGGGACUGAGACACUGCCCAGACUCCUACGGGAGGCUGCAGUCGAGAAUCUUCGGCAAUGGGCGCAAGCCUGACCGAGCGACGCCGCGUGGAGGACGAAGGCCUUCGGGUUGUAAACUCCUGUCGAGGGGGAGGAAGGGGCAACCUUGACCGAUCCCUGGAGGAAGCACGGGCUAAGUUCGUGCCAGCCGCCGCCGUAAAAC
This 478-nucleotide ribosomal RNA is filed under the name uncultured bacterium. Its description in RNAcentral is "bacterial SSU rRNA". It matches the Rfam family "Bacterial small subunit ribosomal RNA", at positions 28 to 526 of the family's 1533-position model. The record is from RNAcentral.